Molecule: ribosomal RNA, 468 nt
Filed under: uncultured bacterium
Lineage: Bacteria
Description: bacterial SSU rRNA
Rfam family: Bacterial small subunit ribosomal RNA
Source: RNAcentral
CUCCAGACUCCUACGGGAGGCAGCGGUGAGGAAUAUUGGUCAAUGGACGAAAGUCUGAACCAGCCAUGCCGCGUGCAGGAUGAUGGCUCUAUGAGUUGUAAACUGCUUUUGUAUUAGGGUAAACACCCCUACGUGUAGGGGCUUGAAAGUAUAAUACGAAUAAGGAUCGGCUAACUACGUGCCAGCAGCCGCGGUCAUACGUAGGAUCCGAGCAUUAUCCGGAGUGACUGGGUGUAAAGAGUUGCGUAGGUGGCAUAAUAAGUAGCUAGUGAAAUCUGGUGGCUCAACCAUUCAGACUAUUAGCUAAACUGUUAAGCUCGAGACCGUUAGGGGUAACUGGAAUUUCUAGUGUAGGAGUGAAAUCCGUAGAUAUUAGAAGGAACACCAAUAGCGUAGGCAGGUUACUGGGACGGUUCUGACACUAAGGCACGAAAGCGUAGGGAGCAAACGGGAUUAGAUACCCGUGUA